UACAGAGGUCUCAAGCGUUGUUCGGAUUCAUUGGGCGUAAAGGGUGUGUAGGUGGCGCGCUAAGUUGGGUGUGAAAUUUCGGAGCUUAACUCCGAAACUGCAUUCGAUACUGGCGUGCUUGAGGACUGGAGAGGAGACUGGAAUUCAUGGUGUAGCAGUGAAAUGCGUAGAGAUCAUGAGGAAGACCAGUGGCGAAGGCGGGUCUCUGGACAGUUCCUGACACUGAGACACGAAGGCCAGGGGAGCAAACGGG
RNAcentral lists this ribosomal RNA (253 nucleotides) under uncultured bacterium. RNAcentral describes it as "partial 16S ribosomal RNA". It matches the Rfam family "Bacterial small subunit ribosomal RNA", at positions 524 to 776 of the family's 1533-position model. The record is from RNAcentral.